RNAcentral lists this ribosomal RNA (723 nucleotides) under uncultured organism. RNAcentral describes it as "SSU rRNA". It matches the Rfam family "Eukaryotic small subunit ribosomal RNA", at positions 402 to 1139 of the family's 1831-position model. The record is from RNAcentral.
CCUUUUUACCACAUCCAAGGAAGGCAGCAGGCGCGCAAAUUACCCAAUCCCAACACGGGGAGGUAGUGACAAUAUGUAACAAUAUACGGCCUUAUACGUCGUAUAAUUGGAAUGAGUACAAUUUAAAUCCCUUAACGAGGAACAAUUGGAGGGCAAGUCUGGUGCCAGCAGCCGCGGUAAUUCCAGCUCCAAUAGCGUAUAUUAAAGUUGUUGCAGUUAAAAAGCUCGUAGUUGGACCUUGGACCUGGACAGGCGGUCCGCCUCACGGCGAGUACUGUCUUGCUGGGUCUUUCCUCUUGGUGAUCUGUUGUUUCGGCAGCAGGGAACCAGGACCUUUACUUUGAAAAAAUUAGAGUGUUCAAAGCAGGCUCGACGCCGGAAUAUAUUAGCAUGGAAUAAUAAAAUAGGACGUGCGGUUCUAUUUUGUUGGUUUUUGGAAUCGCCGUAAUGAUUAAUAGGGACAGUCGGGGGCAUUAGUACUCACAUGCUAGAGGUGAAAUUCUUGGAUUUUGUGAAGACUAACUUCUGCGAAAGCAUUUGCCAAGGAUGUUUUCAUUAAUCAAGAACGAAGGUUAGGGUAUCGAAAACGAUUAGAUACCGUCGUAGUCUUAACAGUAAACUAUGCCGACUACGGAUCGGUCGAUGUUAUCUUUUUGACUCGAUCGGCACCUUAACGAGAAAUCAAAGUUUUUGGGUUCUGGGGGGAGUAUGGUCGCAAGGCUG